GGGGUUGUGGCUCAGUGGUAGAGUGCUUACCUAGCAUGUGUGAGGCACUGGGUUCGAUUCUCAGCACCACA
Molecule: transfer RNA, 71 nt
Filed under: Marmota monax (woodchuck)
Lineage: Eukaryota; Metazoa; Chordata; Mammalia; Rodentia; Sciuridae
Description: tRNA.Ala
Rfam family: tRNA
About the family: Transfer RNA (tRNA) molecules are approximately 80 nucleotides in length. Their secondary structure includes four short double-helical elements and three loops (D, anti-codon, and T loops).
Source: RNAcentral